CCUACGGGAGGCAGCAGUGGGGAAUAUUGGGCAAUGGAGGAAACUCUGACCCAGCGACGCCGCGUGCGGGAUGAAGGCCUUCGGGUUGUAAACCGCUUUCAGUAGGGAAGAAGCGAAAGUGACGGUACCUACAGAAGAAGCACCGGCUAACUAUGUGCCAGCAGCCGCGGUAAUACAUAGGGUGCAAGCGUUGUCCGGAAUUAUUGGGCGUAAAGAGCUCGUAGGUGGUUCGUCACGUCGGAUGUGAAAAUCUGGGGCUCAACCCCAGACCUGCAUUCGAUACGGGCGAUCUAGAGUGUGGUAGGGGAGACUGGAAUUCCUGGUGUAGCGGUGGAAUGCGCAGAUAUCAGGAGGAACACCGAAUGGCGAAGGCAGGUCUCUGGGCCAUUACUGACACUGAGGAGCGAAAGCGUGGGGAGCGAACAGGAUUAGAUACCCUGGUAGUCCACGCCGUAAACGGUGGGCACUAGUUGUGGGAACCUUCCACGGUUUCUGCGACGCAGCUACGCAUAGUGCCCGCCGUCGGGAGUACGAGCGCGAGAUAAACGUUAAACGUAAGUUAGACGGCGUGAGACGUGCGACGGACGACGACGAGGGAGGAGG
RNAcentral lists this ribosomal RNA (603 nucleotides) under uncultured bacterium. Its description in RNAcentral is "bacterial SSU rRNA". The stretch from base 1 to 521 matches the Rfam family "Bacterial small subunit ribosomal RNA", at positions 338 to 873 of the family's 1533-position model. The record is from RNAcentral.